GCAUAUCAAUAAGCGGAGGAAAAGAAACUAACAAGGAUUCCCCUAGUAACUGCGAGUGAAGCGGGAAAAGCUCAAAUUUAAAAUCUGGUAGUCUUUGGCUGCCCGAGUUGUAAUCUAGAGAAGCGUUAUCCGCGCUGGACCGUGUGUAAGUCUCCUGGAAUGGAGCGUCAUAGAGGGUGAGAAUCCCGUCUUUAACACGGACUACCAGGGCUUUGUGAUGCGCUCUCAAAGAGUCGAGUUGUUUGGGAAUGCAGCUCUAAAUGGGUGGUAAAUUCCAUCUAAAGCUAAAUAUUGGCGAGAGACCGAUAGCGAACAAGUACCGUGAGGGAAAGAUGAAAAGAACUUUGGAAAGAGAGUUAAACAGUACGUGAAAUUGUUGAAAGGGAAACGCUUGAAGUCAGUCGCGUUGGUCAGGGAUCAACCUUGCUUUUGCUUGGUGUACUUCCUGGUUAACGGGUCAGCAUCAAUUUUGACCAGUGGAAAAAGGUCAGGGGAAUGUGGCAUCUUCGGAUGUGUUAUAGCCUCUGGUCAUAUACAUUGGUUGGGAUUGAGGAACUCAGCACGCCGCAAGGCCGGGUUUUAACCACGUUCGUGCUUAGGAUGCUGGCAUAAUGGCUUUAAUCGACCCGUCUUGAAACACGGACCAAGGAGUCUAACAUGCCUGCGAGUGUUUGGGUGGAAAACCCAAGCGCGUAAUGAAAGUGAAAGUUGGGAUCUCUGUCGUGGAGAGCACCGACGCCCGGACCAGACCUUUUGUGACGGAUCCGCGGUAGAGCAUGUAUGUUGGGACCCGAAAGAUGGUGAACUAUGCCUGAAUAGGGUGAAGCCAGAGGAAACUCUGGUGGAGGCUCGUAGCGAUUCUGACGUGCAAAUCGAUCGUCGAAUUUGGGUAUAGGGGGCGAAAGACUAAUCGAACUCAUCUAGGUAGCUGGUUCCUGCCCGAAGU
Molecule: ribosomal RNA, 946 nt
Filed under: Entoloma sericeum
Lineage: Eukaryota; Fungi; Basidiomycota; Agaricomycetes; Agaricales; Entolomataceae
Description: LSU rRNA
Rfam family: Eukaryotic large subunit ribosomal RNA
Source: RNAcentral